GCCAAAAACUUAGCUCUCUACCCCUAAUGAAAUUUUUUCAACUAACAACUUUAUAAAACAUUUUACACUUCAAGUAAAGGCGAUUGAAAAAUGUCUAGAAGCUAUAGAAACUAGUACCGCAAGGGAAAAGUGAAAUAACAGUGAAAAUUUUAAGCACAAAACAGCAGAGCCUCAACCUCGUACCUUUUGCAUCAUGGUUUAACGAGUCUAACCAAGCAAAACGCACCUUAAGUUUGACUUCCCGAAACUAGACGAGCUACUUAAGAACAGCCUUAUGGGCCAACCCGUCUCUGUUGCAAAAGAGUGGGACGAUUUUUAAGUAGAGGUGAUAAACCUACCGAGCCUAGAGAUAGCUGGUUAUUCAGGAAAAGGAUCUAAGUCCUACCUUAAAUUUUCUGUAUCUUCUAAUACACCCUAAAAUUUAAGAGCUAUUCAAAUAAGGUACAGCCUAUUUGAAAAAGGAUACAACCUCAAAUAACGGGUAACAAACCUAAAACACAACAAAGUGGGCCUAAGAGCAGCCACCUUUAAAAAAGCGUUAAAGCUUUAUUGUCUACCAAAAAAAUACCAUAAACUUAACUCAACCCUUUACUAAUACUGAAUGACUUCAUACCUUUAUGAAGAACCUUAUGUUAGAACUAGUAACAAGAAGAAGCCCUUCUCCAAAAUGUAAACAUGAACCAAAAUGAACAAAUCAUUGGUAUUUAAAAUUUUUUUAGCUACAAGUAACAACUCAUCAAGAAAACCUUACUGCCCAACAUGUCAACCUUACACAAGUACAUUUAUGGAAAGAGUAAAAGAAUGGGAAGGAACUCGGCAAAUAACUAACCCCGCCUGUUUACCAAAAACAUCGCCUCCUGCUACUUUAUAGGAGGUCCAGCCUGCCCAGUGAUAAAAUUAAACGGCCGCGGUACCCUAACCGUGCAAAGGUAGCGCAAUCACUUGUUCUUUAAAUGAGGACUAGUAUGAACGGCAUCACGAGGGUUACACUGUCUCCCCACUCUACUCAGUGAAACUGAUCCCCCCGUGAAGAAGCGGGGAUAAAUAUAUAAGACGAGAAGACCCCAUGGAGCUUAAAACUCAGUCUUACCUGCCAUCUAAAAAACCUAUAAACCACGCAGUACUAAUGACUAGUUUUCGGUUGGGGUGACCGCGGAGAAAAACAAAUCCUCCACGACGAAAGGACCUACCCACCUAACCCAAGAGCUACACCUCUAAGAAUCAACACAUUGACCAACUGAUCCAAUUUUUUGAUCAGCGGACCAAGUUACCCUGGGGAUAACAGCGCAAUCCAUUUCAAGAGCUCAUAUCGACAAAUGGGUUUACGACCUCGAUGUUGGAUCAGGGUAUCCAAGUGGCGCAGCCGCUACUAACGGUUCGUUUGUUCAACGAUUAAAACCCUACGUGAUCUGAGUUCAGACCGGAGCAAUCCAGGUCGGUUUCUAUCUAUAAAGAGUUACUUCUAGUACGAAAGGACCGAAGCAACAUGGCCCAUGAUCAAUCAAGCCAUCGCUGAAAAUUAGUAAAAACAACUUAAUUAAUAUCAGUCUACCACUUUCCCUCAGAUAAAGUCU
Molecule: ribosomal RNA, 1574 nt
Filed under: Microhyla butleri
Lineage: Eukaryota; Metazoa; Chordata; Amphibia; Anura; Microhylidae
Description: 16S ribosomal RNA
Rfam family: Bacterial large subunit ribosomal RNA
Source: RNAcentral